RNAcentral lists this ribosomal RNA (2932 nucleotides) under Geosporobacter ferrireducens. RNAcentral's name for it is "bacterial LSU rRNA". It matches the Rfam family "Bacterial large subunit ribosomal RNA". Lineage: Bacteria; Bacillati; Bacillota; Clostridia; Peptostreptococcales; Thermotaleaceae. The record is from RNAcentral.
UUUCUGGUCAAGUUAUAAAGAGCAUAGGGCGAAUGCCUUGGCACCAGGAGCCGAAGAAGGACGCGGUAAGCUGCGAUAAGCCUCGGGAAGCCGCAAGCAGGCAUUGAUCCGGGGAUUUCCGAAUGGGGGAACCCAGCUGGGGUAAUACCCAGUUACCCACUACUCAAUCCAUAGGUAGUGAGGAGGCAUACCGGGGGAACUGAAACAUCUAAGUACCCUGAGGAAGAGAAAGAAAACUCGAUUCCCUAAGUAGCGGCGAGCGAAAGGGGAUUAGCCCAAACCAAGAAGAUUUCUUCUUGGGGUUGCGGAUAUACUCGUUAAGAGAUGGCAGUUGUAGUCGAAGCGGUCUGGAAAGGCCCACCAUAGGAGGUAAGAGUCCUGUAGAUGAAACGACUAAAGUCUUGAGUAUACUCCAGAGUACCACGAGACACGUGAAACCUUGUGGGAAGCAGGGGGGACCACCCCCCAAGGCUAAAUACUACCUGGUGACCGAUAGCGUAUAGUACCGUGAGGGAAAGGUGAAAAGAACCCCGGGAGGGGAGUGAAAGAGAACCUGAAACCCUAUGUUUACAAGCAGUGAAAGUCCUUUAUAUGGACGAUCGCGUACUUUUUGUAGAACGGGCCAACGAGUUACGGUAUGCAGCAAGGUUAAGCUGUUAUGCAGCGGAGCCGCAGCGAAAGCGAGUCUUAAGAGGGCGAUACAGUUGCAUGCCGUAGACCCGAAACCGGGUGACCUAUCCAUGAGCAGGAUGAAGCGGAAGUAAAAUUUCGUGGAGGUCCGAACCCAUGUCUGUUGAAAAAGGCUGGGAUGACUUGUGGAUAGCGGAGAAAUUCCAAUCGAACCCGGAGAUAGCUGGUUCUCCCCGAAAUAGCUUUAGGGCUAGCCUCAAAUGAAGAGAUGCGGAGGUAGAGCACUGAAUAGCCUAGGGGCCCUCACCGGUUACCAAAGCUUAUCAAACUCCGAAUGCCGUAUUCUUAUAUUUGGGAGUCAGACUACGUGAGAUAAGUUUCGUGGUCAAAAGGGAAACAGCCCAGACCGUCAGCUAAGGUCCCAAAGUACAGGUUAAGUGGAAAAGGAUGUGGGAUUGCACAGACAACUAGGAUGUUGGCUUAGAAGCAGCCACUCAUUUAAAGAGUGCGUAAUAGCUCACUAGUCGAGUGAUCCUGCGCCAAAGAUGUCCGGGGCUCAAACCUGUCACCGAAGCUACGGCAGCGCGUCAGCGCUGGGUAGGGGAGCAUUGUAUGCGGGUAGAAGUCACACCGUAAGGAGUGGUGGACUGCAUACAAGAGAGAAUGUUGGCAUGAGUAGCGAGAGGUGGGUGAGAAUCCCACCCGUCGAAAACCUAAGGUUUCCUGAGGAAGGUUCGUCCGCUCAGGGUUAGUCGGGACCUAAGCCGAGGACGAAAGUCGUAGGCGAUGGACAACAGGUUGAAAUUCCUGUACCACCGAAGAUUGUUUGAGCAAUGGGGUGACACAGGAGGAUAGGUCAUGCGCACCGUUGGUCGUGUGCGUCUAAGCCCGUAGGGAGUUAGGAUAGGCAAAUCCGUUCUAACAAUCCUAAAAGGUGAUGGGGAGUGAAAUUUAAGUAGCGAACUGACUGAUUCCACACUGUCAAGAAAAGCCUCUAGUUAGAUCUAGGUGCCCGUACCGCAAACCGACACAGGUAGGUGAGGAGAGAAUCCUAAGACGAGCGAGAGAACUAUUGUUAAGGAACUCGGCAAAAUGACCCCGUAACUUCGGGAGAAGGGGUGCCACGGUAGGGUGUUAAAGCCCGAGGUGGCCGCAGAGAAUAGGCCCAAGCGACUGUUUAACAAAAACACAGGUCUCUGCUAAGUCGAAAGACGAUGUAUAGGGGCUGACGCCUGCCCGGUGCUGGAAGGUUAAGGGGACGUGUUAACCGCAAGGUGAAGCACUGAACUUAAGCCCCAGUAAACGGCGGCCGUAACUAUAACGGUCCUAAGGUAGCGAAAUUCCUUGUCGGGUAAGUUCCGACCCGCACGAAAGGCGUAACGAUUUGGGCACUGUCUCAACAAUAGACUCGGUGAAAUUGUAGUACCAGUGAAGAUGCUGGUUACCCGCAGCAGGACGGAAAGACCCCGUGGAGCUUUACUGUAGCCUGACACUGGAUUUUGGUAUUGCAUGUACAGGAUAGGUGGGAGACUUGGAAGCUUGGACGCCAGUCUAGGUGGAGUCAACCUUGGGAUACCACUCUUGUAAUACUGGAGUUCUAACCAUAAGCCGUGAAUCCGGCUUUGGGACACUGUCAGGUGGGCAGUUUGACUGGGGCGGUCGCCUCCCAAAAAGUAACGGAGGCGCCCAAAGGUUCCCUCAGCGCGGUUGGAAAUCGCGCGUAGAGUGUAAAGGCAGAAGGGAGCUUGAUUGCGAGACGUACAGGUCGAGCAAGGACGAAAGUCGGGCUUAGUGAUCCGGUGGUUCCGAGUGGAAGGGCCAUCGCUCAACGGAUAAAAGCUACCCCGGGGAUAACAGGCUUAUCUCCCCCAAGAGUCCACAUCGACGGGGAGGUUUGGCACCUCGAUGUCGGCUCGUCUCAUCCUGGGGCUGUAGUAGGUCCCAAGGGUUGGGCUGUUCGCCCAUUAAAGAGGCACGCGAGCUGGGUUCAGAACGUCGUGAGACAGUUCGGUCCCUAUCCGCUGUGGGCGCAGGAAAUUUGAGAGGAGCUGUCCUUAGUACGAGAGGACCGGGAUGGACGUACCUCUGGUGUAUCAGUUGUUCCGCCAGGAGCACGGCUGAGUAGCUAUGUACGGACGGGAUAAGCGCUGAAGGCAUCUAAGCGCGAAGCCCCCCUCAAGAUUAGAUUUCCCAUCCGCAAGGAGUAAGACCCCAGAUAGACUAUCUGGUUGAUAGGUCGGAGGUGUAAGGGCAGUAAUGUCUUCAGCUGACCGAUACUAAUAGGUCGAGGACUUGACCAAAU